AAACAAAAGGAAAAUGAAGGAAAUGCUCUUUAGUAGAAUGGGAAAGGUCUCUCUCCCCGUUUGCAGGGCUCACUGACCACAAGGAUCAACGCAAAGACAACCAGGGCACUGAAAAGUGAAGGGAGAGCAAGGCUGAACACUGAGGGGCUGACCCCUGAUUGGAGUGGCUUGAGAAGUGGCAGGGGGAACAGGGCACUGGAAUGAGAGAGGGCUGGAGCGAGGGUCAGCAGGGCGCGCGAGAAGAGGAAUGGAGGGUCAGCAGUGGCUUCAGUGGAAGCAGUGGAAACUCGAAUCUAGGACUGGUAUGGUGGCUCCUCAGCCAUCUGGUACUCGGCCUCUUCCUCAUCCUUCUAUCAUAUUGGCCUGUGGCUUCCACCAUCAAGGUCACAAAUUCCCGGAUGGCUACUGGAGCUCCAGUCAUCAAGAUGAUAUUCAACCAGAGGAAGGGAGAUGGAAGGCAGGCCAAACCAAGCACACCUUUCAAGUGGAGUCAACUUCUUUUAAGCAGCCUACUUGAACAUUGCAUACAUUUCUGUUUACAUCUCGUUGGCUGGAACCUAGCUCUCCAAGGGAGGCUGAGAAAUUGUCUUCUAGUUGUAUACAUUGUCAUCUCAAAUAAAAUUAGGAUUGUAAUAAAGGGAAAAGAAUAAAGUGGAGGUUGAGUAGGCAACUA
Macaca mulatta (Rhesus monkey) is the source of this 673-nucleotide non-coding RNA. Lineage: Eukaryota; Metazoa; Chordata; Mammalia; Primates; Cercopithecidae. The record is from RefSeq and is a predicted model, not a curated record.